This 493-nucleotide ribosomal RNA is filed under the name uncultured bacterium. RNAcentral's name for it is "partial 16S ribosomal RNA". It matches the Rfam family "Bacterial small subunit ribosomal RNA", at positions 29 to 523 of the family's 1533-position model. The record is from RNAcentral.
AUUGAACGCUGGCGGCAUGCCUUACACAUGCAAGCCGAACGGUAACAGGUUAAGCUGACGAGUGGCGAACGGGUGAGUAAUGCAUCGGAACGUGCCCGGUCGUGGGGGAUAACGCAGCGAAAGCUGCGCUAAUACCGCAUACGAUCUGAGGAUGAAAGCGGGGGACCGUAAGGCCUCGCGCGAUCGGAGCGGCCGAUGUCAGAUUAGGUAGUUGGUGGGGUAAAGGCUCACCAAGCCAACGAUCUGUAGCUGGUCUGAGAGGACGACCAGCCACACUGGGACUGAGACACGGCCCAGACUCCUACGGGAGGCAGCAGUGGGGAAUUUUGGACAAUGGGCGAAAGCCUGAUCCAGCAAUGCCGCGUGCAGGAAGAAGGCCUUCGGGUUGUAAACUGCUUUUGUACGGAGCGAAAAGGUCUCCUCUAAUACAGGGGGCUCAUGACGGUACCGUAAGAAUAAGCACCGGCUAACUACGUGCCAGCCGCCGCGGUAA